This 7577-nucleotide long non-coding RNA is filed under the name Homo sapiens (human). RNAcentral describes it as "non-protein coding LINC00665:27". The record is from RNAcentral. Lineage: Eukaryota; Metazoa; Chordata; Mammalia; Primates; Hominidae.
CUCCCAUUUCCGGAAGCCUGGCGCAAGGUUGGUCUGCAGGUGGCCUCCAGGUGCAAAGUGGGAAGUGUGAGUCCUCAGUCUUGGGCUAUUCGGCCACGUGCCUGCCGGACAUGGGACGCUGGAGGGUCAGCAGCGUGGAGUCCUGGCCUUUUGCGUCCACGGGUGGGAAAUUGGCCAUUGCCACGGCGGGAACUGGGACUCAGGCUGCCCCCCGGCCGUUUCUCAUCCGUCCACCGGACUCGUGGGCGCUCGCACUGGCGCUGAUGUAGUUUCCUGACCUCUGACCCGUAUUGUCUCCAGAUUAAAGGUACGACAUUUGGAGGCCCCAGCGAGAAACGUCACCGGGAGAAACGUCACCGGGCGAGAGCCGGGCCCGCUGUGUGCUCCCCCGGAAGGACAGCCAGCUUGUAGGGGGGAGUGCCACCUGAAAAAAAAAUUUCCAGGUCCCCAAAGGGUGACCGUCUUCCGGAGGACAGCGGAUCGACUACCAUGUGGGUGCCCACAAAAAUUCCACCUCUGAGUCCUCAACUGCUGACCCCGGGGUCAGAGUCUCACUCUGUUUCCCAGGCUGGAGUUCUGUGGCACCGUGUUGGCUCACUGCAACCUCCGUCUCCUGGGUUCAAGCAAUUCUCUUGCCUCAGCCUCCAGAGUAGCUGGGAUUACAGGUGCCCACCACCACACCCGGCUAAUUUUUUUAUAUUUUUAGUAGACACGGGGUUUCACCAUGUUGGCCAGGCCGGUCUUGAACUUGUGACGUCAGGUGAUGCACCCGCCUUGGCCUCCCAAAGUGCUGGGAUUACAGGUCCAGAUUUUGAACAAAUCUCGCUAGAGAUUGAACAGAGCUGCGCCUGGAUCCCGCCACAGUGAGGAGACCUGAAGACCAGAGAAAACACAGCAAACGGAGUCUUGCUCUGUUGUCCAGGCUGGAGUGUAGUGUGGCGAUCUCGGCUCCCUGCAAGAAUCUGCCUCCCAGAUUCACGCCAUUUUCCCACCUCAGCCCCUGGAGUAGCUGGAAGUACAGGCUCCCGCCACCACGCCUGGCUAAUUUUGUUUUUGUAUUUUUAGUAGAGACGGGGUUUCACUGUGUUAGGUAGGAUGGUCUCGAUCUCCUGACCUCAUGAUCCAUCCGCCUUGGCCUCUCAAAGUGCUGGGAUUACAGGCAUGAGCCACCGCACCUGGCUGUUUUUUCAUUUCUAUUAUGAUUUGUUCUGUGGAAUGUCAGUGACUUAGCGGUGUUUUUCACAUGUUUAUAAAGCUGAAUAGUUCUGUAUGUCAGCUCAGCACCCCUAGUGUCAGUCAUGCUACUCUCCUGCUGUGCAUAGAUGGGGGCCUGUCCACACCCAAAUCUCCUGGGUUCCCGCUGUCCGCACCUGAAGGUACCCACCAGAUGUGUCUGUCACUGCCCUCCAUCCACCUUUCUUGUGGUUCUCAUGUUUCUGCCUCCCUAGAGACCAUUUCUCUCUACAGCAGUAGUUUCCAAUAGAAAUACAAUGCCAGACACAUACGUCAUUUUAGAUUUUCUAGUAGUCACUUUAGAAAAGUGAAAAAGAGGCCAGCUGCAGUGGCUCACACCUGUAAUCCCAGCACUUUGGAAGGCUGAGGUGGGUGGAUCACGAGGUCAGGAGAUCGAGACCAUCCUGGCCAACAUGGUGAAACCCCCUCUCUACUAAAAAUACAAAAAAUUAGCUGGGCGUGGUGGCAGGCGCCUGUAGUCCCAGCUACUCGAGAGGCUGAGGCAGGAGAAUGGCGUGAACCCGGUAGGCAGAGCUUGCAGUGAGCCGAGAUAGCGCCACUGCACUCCAGCCUGGGCGACAGAGGGAGACUCCAUCUCAAAAAAAAAAAAAAGGUUACAAAGAAACAGGUGAAAUUAGUUUUAUUUCACCUAAAAUGUUAGCAUUAUCCAAAAUAUCACUUCAACAUCUUAUCAAAAUAAAAAUUAUUAAUGAGAUAGCUUACAGUCUUUCUUUUCUUUGAGACAGGGUCUUGCUUUGUGGUCCAGGCUGGAAUGCAGUGGCACCAGCAUAGCUCAUUGCAGUUUCAGACUCCUGGGCUUGAGAUCCUCCUGCCUCAGUCUUCCUAGUAUUCGGACUACAGGCACACACCACCAUGCCACGCUAGUUUUUUUUUUUUUUUAAAGACAGGGUCUCACUCUGUCAGCCGGGCUGGAGUGCAGUGGCACAAUCUCGGCUCACUGCAGCCUCGAUCUCCGGGGCUGAAAUGAUCCUCCCACCUCAGCCUCCCAAGUAGCUGGGACCAAAAACAUGUGCCACCACGCCUGAAUAAUUUUUGUAUUUUUUUGUUAAGACAGGGUUUCGGCAUGUUGUCCAGGCUGGUCUUGAACUCCAGAGCUGAAGUGAUCCACCCACCUUGGCUUCCCAAAGUGUUGGGAUUACAGGCAUGAGCCACUGCACUCGGCCUAAUUUUUUUUUUUUCUGAAGAGAUGAGGUCUUGCUAUGUUGCCCAGUCCAGUCUCAAACUUCUGGCUCAAGCAGUCCUCCCGCCUUGGCCUUCCAAAGUGCUGGGAUUACAGAUGUGAGCCACCACACUGGCCCAUUCUUUCUUUUAUACUGAGUAUUCAGAAUUUUUUUAAAAUGUGUUUUCCACUUACAGCAUUUCUCAGGUUGGACUAGCCAUCUUUCAAGUGCUCAGCAGCCACAUGUGGCAAGUGGCUGCCUUAUUGGACAGCACAGCUCUGGAGGGUGAUUUUAUGUACAUCCCCACUGCUCUCUCUGCCUCCUUUAUUCCCAUCUACCCCACACCCCUGCAGUCUGUGACUAUCGUGUCCCUCUCUCCUCUCUUUCUGUCUCUUGUAAUUCUUUAAUAUGGAGAAUUAUUUCCAAUUCCUUAACAUCCUGCGCUGAUUUUUUUCUGUCUUACAUUCAAGGGUCACAGUUUUCCUCUCACCCUCAUUUCAGUCUUUUCCCAUAACACGUGACGUGCCUUUUUGUCUUGGUUGGGUAUUUAUUUGCAAUACAAGAAUGAUUGUUUUCUUUGAUACAUUAGUGACUUACAUAGUUUUCAUGUUUUUUGAGUACCUCUUUCUUGACAGAAUUUCAAAUUAAUUCUAGCGUUAAACUAGAAAUCUUUUUUUUUUUUUUUGAGACACAGUCUUCCUAUGGCAACCAGUCUGGAGUGCAGUGGUGCAAUCUCAGCUCACUACAACCUCUGCCUUCCAGAUUCAAGUGAUUCUCCUGCCUCAGCCUCCCGAGUACCCGGGAUUACAGAUGUGCACCACCAUGCCUGGCUAAUUUUUGUCUUUUUAGUAGAGACAGUUUUUUGCCAUUUUGGCUAGGCUGGUCUUGAACUCCUGACCUCAAGUGAUCUGCCUGCCUCAGCUUCCCAAAGUGCUGGGAUUACAGGGGUGAGCCACUGUGCCCAACCUAGAAAGCUUAUUUUAUUUUAUUAUUAUAAUUAAUUUUAUUUUUUUGAGAUGGAGUCUCGCUCUGUUGCCCAGGCUGGAGUGCAGUGGCGCAAUCUCUGCUCACUGCAAGCUCCACCUCCCAGGUUCACGCCAUUCUCCUCCCUCAGCCUCCUGAGUAGCUGUGACUACAGGCGCCCGCCACCACACCUGGCUAAUUUUUUGUAUUUUUCAUGGAGACAGGGUUUCACCAUGUUAGCCAGGAUGGUCUCAAUUUCCUGACCUCGUGAUCCACCCGCCGUGGCCUCCCAAAGUGCUGGGAUUACAGGCGUGAGCCACCGCGCCUGGCCUAUAAUUAAUUUUUUUGAGAUGGAGUCUUACUCUGUCUCCCAGGCUGGAGUACAGUGGCACAUCUUGGACCCCUGCAACCUCUGCCUCCUGGGUUCAAGCAGUUCUCUCUACCUCAGCCUCUCCAGUAGCUGGGAUUACAGGUGCCCACCACCAUGCCCAGCUAAUUUUUGUAUUUUUAGUAGAGAUGGGGUUUCACCAUGUUGGCCAGGCUGGUCUCGAACCCCUGACCUCAGGUGAUACGCCCGCCUCGGCCUCCCAAAGUGUGAGAUUACAGGCAUCAGCCACUGCACCCGGCCAGAAAGCUUAUUUUAAAAGAUUCACAGGCUGCUCCCUAGAAUACUGAAGAAGAAACUCUAGGAGUGAGACCCAACAAUCUGUAUUUAACAAGUCCCCAGGCCCCUGGAUCCUCCUGGAAUCCCCGAUCCCUCUUGCUCCCUGGCAGAGUUUUCUAGUCCCUCUUACUUGAAGCAUGUCUUUCAGAGCCCGGCACCACCCAUCUUGAGUAUCUGGUGAGUUCUGUGGUCUGCAUGUCCAUGUUUGGGACAUUCUGGGAAGGGUGGCCCAGGCUGUGAUUUGCCAUCUACUGCAGGCUAUGGAUGGUAUUCAGAAGGGAGGGGAGAUGCUGUGUGCGUGUUCUGAAGGGUUUCCCACUAAACAGAUCAACCCUCUCCAUAACUAUUUGAUUUUUACUUUAUCUCCUCGUUGACUUCACAGUGUCAGUGCAGUUUGUGUAAACAUCUCUAUGGGGUGAUGCAUGCAGAUAAAUGUUUAUGUGAACAUAUAAAGUCUGCAUGUGUGGGUGAACACUCCACAUCAGGUCAUUGUCCAUCAUUACAUAUCUGUGGUGUCUGGCUCAUUCGUCUCGUUUUCUGUCAUUUUACCUACUUUUACCUGAAGUACAAUGACUAUUUAAUAACUAUUAAAUGUUUCAUUUCAGCUACACCUCUAUGGUAUUUUUUUCACCUCAUAUCAUACCUUCCUCCCUCACUGGACUUCAGUGUGGGACCUGCAGGUCUCAGGCCUUCUGGGAAGUCCCAGCUUUUCUUGAAUGUUUUCUCUCUCUGGCCAGCUCAGGCUGGAGCAGUGGGUGUUGGUGCCAUCCUGUGGCUAUAGGUGAUAAGCCGGCUGUUCUUCACUGACCUGGUCUUACCUUGAACCCUGGAGUUCUCACAUGCAUGGAUUUAAAUGCUGUGUCUUUCUAAGGGCACAUUAUGGCCAUUUUCCUUAUCUCCCUCCCAAGGGGCUGUUUGCUGUGUUUAUUGACUCCCUGUUUAAAAAACAUAUAUAUAUAUAUAUAUAUAGACGAAUUAGGUUGUACCCCAUAAAUUGCAUGUUUGAAAAAUAUUUCAAAGAAUAGUUUAUUUUUUUUUGCUGAUUUUUAUGUAUCUUCUAAAUUGUAUAUAUUUAUGGGGUAUAAAAUGAUGUUGUGAUUUUUCAAUACAGUGUGGAAUGAGAAUCAAAUUAACCUAUCCGUUACCUCAAGUACUUGACUUUUUUUGUGAUGAGAAGGCUGUUUAUCACUUUCACUCACCAGCUCCUGCUGUCUUCCAUGCUGGGGACAGGAAAGGCUCCACGCUUGACUUUCCCUCCUGUUUUCUUAUCUGCUGUCAACCCCUGAAUGUACCCUCCAGGAUUGCCUUCUAGACCUUCUACAUCUAGCUCGAUCAUUGUGCACCCACCUUCCUCCCAGGGACUGUCCUUAGGGAGUGACUUUAUGCACAAACUUCACAUGCUCUUCCUGCCUCCUUCAUCCCCAUAAGCCCCCAUCUCAGCCCCAUCUGAUUAUUUCUUCCCUGUCUCAUUUCCUGUUAUGCUGUUGGUUUUCUAACCUGAAGGGUAACUUCUUACUCCUUAGUUUUUUGCCUUAAUUUCUAAGUCAUAGGCUACUUUCAGGCUAAAAGUUUUCCUCCAGCCAUGGUUUUAGUCUCAUUCUAUAAGUCUUGCUAGGUAGUUUAUUCAUUGGAAAUUUUUUGUUUUUGAGACAGAGUCUCGCUCUGUCACCCAGGCUGUAGUACAGUGGUGCCAUCUCAGCUCACUGCAACCUCCGGUUCCCGGGCUCAAGCAGUUCUCUUUCCUCAGCCUCCUGAGUAGCUGGGAUUAUGGGUGCCUGCCACCACACCCAGCUAAUUUUUGUAUUUUUAGUAGAGACGGCAUUUCACCAUGUCAGCCAGGUUGGUCUCGAACUCUUGACCUCAAGUGAUCCGCCCACCUUGGCCUCCCAAAAUACUGGGAUUACAGGGGUGAGUCACCACACCCCACCCCUUGGCACUAUAUUUAAGUGAUGAUAUUUUUGGACACUGAGGUAGCCUCAUUCCACAGGUUUAGAUCUGAAGCAUUUUCACUAUUGCUUCUUUCCAUGUAUUUCCUGGUUUGCAGGUCAGUUUCUUCUUUUAAUUCAUCAUUGACACAGUGGUUUAUAUGGCUUUUAAUUUCAAAAGAUUUUUUAAAAUAUCUUUUUGCCGAUUUUUAUCUAUGUUAAUUUUAACUAGACAUGUUCCCUGGAAGGACAUCACUAGUUUUUUUUUUUUUUUUUUCACUCUGUUUAUAAUUUAGGUGGAUUUUCACAUCUCAAGCCAGCUAAGAGUAUGGGAAAUAGGACUCGUUAAAGCACAGAUAUCACACAAGUGAUUCAGAUUCACGAGGGUAAUCCAGAUGAAGGUAUAUCAUUGUACCUGGCCCGCAUCACUCAGUAACUGUCACCUUUGAUUUAUUGAUUUACUUGAGAUGGAGUUUGGUUCUGUCCCCGAGGCCGGAGUGCAAUGGCGUGAUCUCUGCUCACUACAACCUCUGCCUCCCAGGUUCAGAGUGAUUCUCCUGCCUCAGCCUCUUUAGCUGGGAUUACAGGCACCCACCAACAUGCCCAGCUAAUUUUUGUAUUUUUAGUAGAGAGGAGCUUUCACCAUAAUGGCCAGGCUGGUCUUGAACCUCAAAUGAUCUGCCCACCUUGGCCUCCCAAAGUGCUAGGAUUACAGGCUGGAGCUACAGAGCCCAGCCUGUCACCUUGAUUUAAAUGAAUGCAGCUUUCUUGGUGUCUUGAUGUUUGUGAAUUUCUGUGGAGUUUGAUACUGCUCCUUUUGCUGCUUGUUUUUCCAGAGUCCCCUUAUCACUUGACGUGCUGUUAUAUUAUGUUUGAUUUAUUACAGAUACCCCAUCAGCCUGAGUCUCUUAAAGGCCUUUAUACACAUAUGUCUACACAUAGGGAUUUGGAUGAUCUCGGGAUCCCACAUCCUCGCUGUCCCCUGUCCCCCCGCAACAUCCCCCACCAAUACCUUUCUGAAGUUUUCUAGUCCCUCCUUUUUGUUUGUGCUCCUUAAAGCCCAGCCCCAUGCCUGACUUUGGUUCCCAGUGAGCAUUGUACAUUUGUGGAUAUUAAAUCUUUGGCAAAGUCAUUUACCUGGGCUGGAAUAGGGCUCUUGGCUGAUUCUUUUUCCUAAACACCCACCCAAUGGGAGAGGCUGAUACUCAACAUGCAAACCUUGUGUUUUAUUUCUCCAGGCGAAGGGAUGUUGGAAGACAUUCUGGAAGGGGUGGGGUGUGAAGAUUUACAAAUAAUCUUUGAAUAUCUGCUUCAUGAUAGGUCUUGGAGGUGCCUUGUGGGUGUGGCUUUGGGGGGAUGGUUACGAGGAAAUUGUGGAUAUUAAGGAAGUCAGGAAAGGAAAAGAUCAGUCACAAUUCAACAAUUCAGAGAAAGCUCCUAAGGGACUUUCUGGCUGCUUGAUGCCCAGAGGCCAGGCCCUCACUUCGUAUUAAGGCUCAGGACUGUGGAUAGAGAAUUUAAAGGGGCACCAAAAAAAACAUUAAAAUAGAUAAACAUAUUUUUAAUGGAAUACCUUUAAAAAUGCAAAUCAAUGCACAAAGAAAACGCCCA